Molecule: RNA transcript, 3950 nt
Organism: Camelus dromedarius (Arabian camel)
Lineage: Eukaryota; Metazoa; Chordata; Mammalia; Artiodactyla; Camelidae
Gene name: cytochrome P450 2J2
Exons: 10
Source: RefSeq, a predicted model, not a curated record
GCUCAGAACGCGGAAGAGAAGCAGACUCUCAGCCAUGCUCGCGGUGGUGGGCUCCCUGGCGGAGGCCCUCUGGGGGCUGCUCCGUCUCCGCACUCUCCUGCUGGGUGCCGUCGUAUUUCUCUUCUUUGCUGAUUUCCUCAAAAGGCGGCGCCCAAAGAACUACCCGCCUGGGCCCCCGAGCCUGCCCUUCGUGGGACACCUCUUUCAUCUGGACUUACAGAAGGGGCACCUGUCGGUUCAGCGGUUUGUGAAGAAAUACGGGGAACUUUUUCGCCUGGACGUCGGUGACUUGGUUUCAGUUGUUAUAACUGGAUUGCCCUUAAUCAAAGAAGCCCUUGUCCACCAGGGCCAAAACUUUGUGAACCGCCCCAUAACCCCUCUUCGAGAACAUGUCUUUAAGGAAAAUGGAUUGAUCAUGUCCAAUGGCCAGGUGUGGAAGGAACAAAGAAGAUUCACCCUGAUGACACUGAGGAACUUUGGUUUAGGAAAGAAGAGCUUAGAGGAACACAUUCAGGAAGAGGCCCGCUACCUCACCCAGGCAAUAGGAGAGGAGGACGGACAGCCUUUCAACCCUCACUUCAAAAUCAACAAUGCAGUUUCCAAUAUUAUUUGCUCCAUCACAUUUGGGGAGCGCUUUGACUACAAGGAUGAUCAGUUCCAGGAGCUGCUGAGGCUGUUGGAUGAGGCCACGUAUCUGGAGACAUCAAUGUGGUGCCAGCUUUACAAUGUUUUUCGGCUGAUAAUGAAUUUCCUCCCUGGACCCCACCAAAGGCUCUUUCGUAACUGGGAGAAACUGAAAAUGUUCGUUGCCAGAGUGAUUGAAAACCACAAGAGAGACUGGAAUCCUGCCGAAGCAAGAGACUUCAUUGAUGCUUACCUCCAGGAAAUAGAGAAGCAUAGAGGCAAUGCUACCUCAAGUUUCAAUGAAGAAAACCUCAUCUCCAGCACCCUGGACCUCUUCUUCGCUGGAACGGAGACAACUUCGACGACGCUGCGCUGGGGUCUGCUCUACAUGGCCUUCUACCCAGAAAUCCAAGAAAAAGUACAGGCUGAGAUUGACAGGGUACUUGGCCAAUGGCAGCAGCCGAGCACAGCAGCUCGGGAGUCCAUGCCCUACACCAACGCUGUCAUCCACGAGGUGCAGAGAAUGGGCAACAUCGUCCCCCUGAACGUGCCCAGGGAGGUGAUAGUGGACACCACGCUGGCUGGAUACCACCUGCCCAAGGGAACUACAGUCCUGACCAACCUGACCGCACUGCACACGGACCCCACAGCGUGGGCCACCCCAGACACGUUCAAUCCGGAGCACUUUCUGGAGAAUGGACAGUUUAAAAAAAGGGAAGACUUUCUGCCUUUCUCAGUAGGAAAGCGGGUGUGCCUUGGAGAGCAGCUGGCCAGGUCUGAAUUGUUCAUUUUCUUUACUUCCCUUGUGCAAAAAUUCACCUUCAGGCCUCCAGACAAUGAGAAGCUGAGCCUCAAGUUCAGAAUGGGCCUGACCAUCUCCCCAGUUCCCUACCGCAUCUGUGCUGUUCCCCGGGAGUGAGGUUGUCCGGGAGGGAGGGGGAAGGAAAGCAGGAAGAGUUCCCAGGUCCCUGCAAGGCCCUGGUGCCUGCUGACAAAUGAGGGAACAGAAUGACCUGCCUCUGAGGACGGUCCUAGGACUUGGACUCAGUGGAAACUGGAUCAGUCCUCACCCCAGCUUUUCCAUGAUUCUAGAAGGACAGGCAUUUAAAUUCUCCCUAUGAAAUAAAUGGAAAAUCCUUGGACAAACAUCCUGAUCUAUGGGAUACACUGGGACCCAGAGCCAAAGGCAGAGUGACUACUUUUAGCCAGAAACCUUGAGGACCCAUGACGGGUAGUAACUGAAUUUUCUGGCCAUGUAAAAUGAUUCCUUUUCCCCUCAAAUCUCAUUGGGGAGACUCUAAAAUACGAACUCUCUUCCUGUCCAAGUACAACACAGAUUUUGUUCUCUGCACUUUGUAGCUCUCUCAUUCCUCAUCUAUUUUGGAAGCUCCAGGGCCCCCUUCCCUCUUGCUUUUUAUCAGUGACACGUGGUGUGCAAGCACAUGACAUUUCAUAUGUAUUCAUGGAUAAGGCACAAACUUUGUCAAAAAACCACCCAGGAUGUGAAUUUUUUACAACCCCUGUCCUGCGGAGAGACACAGACACACACUGCAGUGUAAGUUUAAAAUCAGAUUGGAGGUUGGAGGACUUAUAAGCAGAGGAGCAGGACACUCAGGAUUCCCUCAGUGUGUAUGGGUGUUUCCAGGUCGGGCAGGGCUGGAAUACGUGCACUGGCGAGAGGGGCCACCUCUCAGUGCCUUGUGGGUUUAUAGACAGGAGUUGGGGGCUGACUAGGUGACUAAGUGACAAUGACAGCUUCCUGUGUGACUUUACAUGUUAGAUCAGGGCUUUGUUAGGACAAGGAACUCCAGAGGUCUGCCUGAGUGUCUGGCUCUCCUUCCCUGGAGAUCAUUCAAGCCCACUUGUUGCUAAGCUACCAAGAGGGAAGGUGGGGUACUGGAAAUGAGUGUCCAGAGACAUUGGGGUUCUCUCUCCUCUACUGCUUUCUGUGACUUUGAGCAACAUAUUUAAACCACAAGCCUUGGUUUUCUUCCUCUCAAACAUGGAACGGGGCCACCUAUUACAUUUCCCCAUGCUUGUUUCCACGGAACAGAGUGAUACCCCGGGAUGGGUAUUUUGUACCAUCCUGGUCACACUGUGUUUUUGUACAUUCCCCAUGAGCUACGUGUGCUACUCUGAAAACCUAAGAAUGUUUCACUUUUGUUUUGAAACAGAUAAGAAAUCACACAGGAAUAAAGGGUCAAAUGCAAAGUGUCACUUUCCAGUUUGGGGACUAAAUCAUUGAUGAUGCCUGCUACAAUAGUCAGAGUCCAAAGAGAGGUUUCCCUUUGCCAAAUGCGUCAGGGUCCGGAGAGAGCACUGGGCUCUGAUGCACAUUAAACAACAUUAAAAGACUCAGGGUAUGUGAUCCUUUCCUCACUGGGUUCACAGAACAAUAUACUCUCCCCCUACUGACCUCAGGAUCCUUAUAAAUCCUUUAGUGGGGCUGCCCCUUUGUCAACCCCCAGGACACCAUCACAGGUGGUCCUGGUGAGCAGCAACCUCUGGAGGUGGGCCGUGUACAGCCAUGUGAAUGGCCUGCUCGUUAGCUGGGCACGUGGUGGUUUUGUGAUCUGAUACCUGCUCACCUCAUCAAUCACAUCACUUCUCCUGCCAAACUGGUGAACUAUCCAUUCCCAGCAGGCCAGGUCCUUUAUCAUCUUCUUGUCUUUAUAUACUUUCUGUAAUAAAUGUCUAAUUACACCCAGCAGACCCUGUUUAAAUGCCAACUCUUCAGUGACAUUUUCUGGACUGUCUCAGCCAGUUAGUUGAUCCCUCCUCCAUUCUCUGAGAAUUUUAUUCAGAAGUUUCCAUCUCCUGUUUCCAUGUAAUCUGCCAGUGACACUGAGCUUUACGAGGGAGUGUGCCUUGCUCACCUAGGCUCAGGACCUACAGGUUUGGACCAGAGUAGAUGCUUGAUAAAUGCUGGGACCUGGGACCCUUUACUGCAGUACUUACACCUGGGCAAACAUAUCCUCGAACAACAGAAUACAGAGAAACUAUAAGGGGCUAAAAAUAACUGCAUGCGCAGUUGGGGCAAAUGAUGAACAAGCAGAUACAAAAAGGCCAAAACCCGACUGCCACUUCUGAGGUGUCAGGGGCAAAAGCCCUGUUCUGCCCACGGUCCCUGCACACAGCACUAUCAAGGGGGUGGGCAGGCCACCUAAGCCUCCCUUCCUGGUGGACCCACCAGUCUGCCCCUACCCUCACCCCCUUUAAGGGACUAGUUCACCUCCCCUCAGGGAGCAAGCUAGGAAAUGAGUUACCUGUUUUCACCCCCUCGUGCUGCAGCCUGAGUCCCAAUAAAGCCUUGCUUGAAUUUCUCA